GUGCAGUAAACGGUUUCUAAAAGUUAACAUCUUGUGAGCAUGUUCCUUUGUAUGCAGGUGUGCGAAUGUUGUCAGCGAUUACAUCAGGAUAAAGAAAGUCAUGGAGGUCUGGGAUGAUAUGAGGGUGUUUUUGGUUCAGGAGAAACAUGCGGUAGCUGCUGUUUUCCUGGGUUGGUCUGCAUAUCGUCAUUAAAUUAUCUGAUGGCAUGUGAUUCUGCGUGAGCAUGGAGGAGCUAUGGAGGCGGACACGGGUGAUGGGUGAAUGGAGACUGAGAUCACCACGUCGUUUCGGUGGACUGACCAAAACAAAGCAGGAUUGCUCUGUGUCUAAUGGUGGCCGGCGGAAAAGCUUUCCCAUCAGAUCACAUGGUGGAUAAAUGAAGCUUCUUGAAAUGGAACGGGAAGAAUGUGGCACGGAUCGUAAAACUGGGACCACAGGGAACGGUAAAAGGGUUCGGAUGGCAGCCAGAUUCAUCAAGUCAUUUAUGCCAUUCCUGAAAUAUGUCAAACGGCCAUUAGGAAUGCUGUUCCGAGUACUAAAAGGAGGAAAGAAUUAAAUAUGUGAACCGGGGAUGGUGGCUUGUGAGCAGCGUAUUUAAAAUUCUAAAAAGCUGUCCUGAAUCUCUCCUAAUCAGGCGCCUCUAAUUAUUAAAUAUUUUCAGACUGCUUUAGUGUAGUAUGUCUACAAUCAAUUAACAUGAUUAAAAUUUUAUACAUUUUAUUUAAUAGAUUUGGGCAAAAAAAA
This 745-nucleotide long non-coding RNA is filed under the name Danio rerio (zebrafish). RNAcentral's name for it is "lncRNA si:ch73-223k16.1 (ENSDARG00000105327.2)". The record is from RNAcentral. Lineage: Eukaryota; Metazoa; Chordata; Actinopteri; Cypriniformes; Danionidae.